RNAcentral lists this non-coding RNA (28 nucleotides) under Cricetulus griseus (Chinese hamster). Lineage: Eukaryota; Metazoa; Chordata; Mammalia; Rodentia; Cricetidae. The record is from RNAcentral.
AACACUGUGUACAUAACAAAUAAAUAAA